ACUCAAAUGAAUUGACGGGGGCCCGCACAAGCAGUGGAGCAUGUGGUUUAAUUCGAUGCAACGCGAAGAACCUUACCCGGGCUCGAAAUGUAGAGAACGCUAACAGAAAUGUUAGUUCCCGAAAGGGGCUCUAUAUAGGUGCUGCAUGGCUGUCGUCAGCUCGUGCCGUGAGGUGUUUGGUUAAGUCCAGCAACGAGCGCAACCCUUAUUGUCAGUUGCCAACGCGUAAUGGCGGGGACUCUGGCAAGACUGCCUAGGUUAACUAGGAGGAAGGUGAGGAUGACGUCAAGUCCGCAUGGCCUUUAUGUCCGGGGCUACACACGUGCUACAAUGGUCGGUACAGAAGGCAGCGAAACCGUGAGGUGGAGCUAAUCCGUAAAGCCGAUCUCAGUUCAGAUUGCAGACUGCAACUCGUCUGCAUGAAGUUGGAAUUGCUAGUAAUGACGUGUCAGCAACAGCGUCGUGAAUACGUUCCCGGGCCUUGCACACACCGCCCGU
RNAcentral lists this ribosomal RNA (498 nucleotides) under uncultured bacterium. RNAcentral describes it as "partial 16S ribosomal RNA". It matches the Rfam family "Bacterial small subunit ribosomal RNA", at positions 899 to 1397 of the family's 1533-position model. The record is from RNAcentral.